AAUCUCCGGUGCUUGCACCGGCGAGUUGUAGUUGCGAGAAGCACUUUCUAGGCGGAUCGGCGGCGCCUAAGUUGCUUGGAACAGCAUGUCGCAGAGGGUGACAACCCCGUCUGUGGCGUGGCCGGCCGCUGACGAUGUGCUUUCGAAGAGUCGGGUUGUUUGGGAAUGCAGCCCAAAAUGGGUGGUAAACUCCAUCUAAAGCUAAAUAUUGGCGUGAGACCGAUAGCGAACAAGUACCGUGAGGGAAAGAUGAAAAGAACUUUGAAAAGAGAGUUAAAAAGUACGUGAAACCGUUGAAAGGGAAACGAAUGGACUCAGCAAUGCGCCGUUUGAGAUUCAGCCGGUGGGUGGGAUCGGCUCGGGGUUUGCGGAUCUGAAUGGACCGCGGCCUUGGGCUCGUUUGUCCUCGCCGUCGCACUUCUCUUGGGCGCGCGUCAACGUCGGUUGGGACUGGGUCUGAAAGGUGCCGGGAAGGUAGGUCUGGACCCCCGGGUCCGGUCUGUUACAGCCCGGUUCUCUCAUGGCUCGGGCCCGACCGAGGAGUGGCAGCGCAUGCCUCUUGUGGCUAGGGUGCCGUCCUUCCGGCCGGUUGUCGAAUGCGGUGGACUGCUUGCAGUGCUCCGCGACUGCUGCCGGUCGUUGGGGUGGUGAUCUCGU
RNAcentral lists this ribosomal RNA (657 nucleotides) under Meandrina jacksoni. RNAcentral's name for it is "eukaryotic LSU rRNA". It matches the Rfam family "Eukaryotic large subunit ribosomal RNA", at positions 119 to 634 of the family's 3401-position model. Lineage: Eukaryota; Metazoa; Cnidaria; Anthozoa; Scleractinia; Meandrinidae. The record is from RNAcentral.